Molecule: ribosomal RNA, 441 nt
Filed under: Triticum aestivum (bread wheat)
Lineage: Eukaryota; Viridiplantae; Streptophyta; Magnoliopsida; Poales; Poaceae
Description: partial small subunit ribosomal RNA
Source: RNAcentral
GGGGUGGUACUCAAAAUAGACUUUGAAAAAGCGUAUGACAAAGUCAAAUGGCCAUUUCUUCAACAGACUCUCAGAAUGAAAGGAUUUUUUGCAGAGUGGUGCGCUAUGGUCCAUAGCUUCGUUUCUGGAGGUAGUGUUGCCAUUAAGGUCAAUGAUGACGUUGGACACUAUUUCCAAACAAAGAAGGGAUUGCGACAAGGUGACUCGGUAUCGCCCAUGCUAUUCAAUAUAGUGGCGGAUAUGCUAGUGGUCAUGAUUGAGCGUGCCAAGGUUGAUGGCCAAAUUGAUGGAGUAGUAAGUCAUCUAGUUCAUGGUGGUCUCUCUAUACUUCAAUAUGCCGACGAUACGAUUCUCUUCAUGGAUCAUGACCUCGAGAAAGCGAGAAAUCUGAAAUUAAUUUUAUCAGUAUUCGAGAAACUCUCAGGUCUGAAGAUCAACUUU